This 414-nucleotide ribosomal RNA is filed under the name Brevibacterium sp. EB65. RNAcentral's name for it is "bacterial SSU rRNA". It matches the Rfam family "Bacterial small subunit ribosomal RNA", at positions 79 to 509 of the family's 1533-position model. The record is from RNAcentral. Lineage: Bacteria; Bacillati; Actinomycetota; Actinomycetes; Micrococcales; Brevibacteriaceae.
GCUUUUGGUGGAUGAGUGGCGAACGGGUGAGUAACACGUGAGUAACCUGCCCCUGAUUUCGGGAUAAGCCUGGGAAACCGGGUCUAAUACCGGAUACGACCAACCCUCGCAUGAGGGUUGGUGGAAAGUUUUUCGAUCGGGGAUGGGCUCGCGGCCUAUCAGCUUGUUGGUGGGGUAAUGGCCUACCAAGGCGACGACGGGUAGCCGGCCUGAGAGGGCGACCGGCCACACUGGGACUGAGACACGGCCCAGACUCCUACGGGAGGCAGCAGUGGGGAAUAUUGCACAAUGGGGGAAACCCUGAUGCAGCGACGCAGCGUGCGGGAUGACGGCCUUCGGGUUGUAAACCGCUUUCAGCAGGGAAGAAGCGAAAGUGACGGUACCUGCAGAAGAAGUACCGGCUAACUACGUGCC